Long non-coding RNA from Capsicum annuum, 528 nucleotides. RefSeq lists it as uncharacterized. The record is from RefSeq and is a predicted model, not a curated record. The transcript has 3 exons. Lineage: Eukaryota; Viridiplantae; Streptophyta; Magnoliopsida; Solanales; Solanaceae.
CUCUUCUGCUAUUUUUUUUUAAAUUCCGCUUUUUCUCUCUGAUUCUUGAUAAACGUUGUUUCCAUCUAUUAAGAGUUCCACUAUAAUGGCAGAACAUGAAAAUCGUAGUAGUUCAGUUGAAGGAAGGUGUUAGCAUUGAAGAGUUGAGAUCAAAGCAGCGUAACGAUCCCGUAAAGACUGUGGAAAUCCUGAAAUAGAAAGUACUGGCAAAAUCUUCAUCCCCCAAAUCCACAAAAAUUUAAAAAUCGAUGAAAAAAAGAAAGUCAGAUGAAAAAGCAGAAUCUAGUAAAAUUGCAAGUCCUGUUUCAUCUGAUUUUAAAUCUAAAGAAGAGAAAGUGGAGGAGAUCUUAUUCGCAUAAGAUAUGCUUCACUUUUGUGGGAUUAUGGUUCGAGGAAAGAAGAAGCGAAGGCACAAAGUGGUGAUGAAGCACCAACGAGGCAUCCUCGAGAAAUUGGGAUAACAGAAGACACUGAAGUGCAUGAUAUUUGAUGUGUAUUUUAUUUUGUUGAAGUUUACAACAGUUAACA